CCAAAAGCGGAGGAAAAGAAACCAACUGGGAUUACCUUAGUAACGGCGAGUGAAGCGGUAAAAGCUCAAAUUUGAAAUCUGGUACUUUCAGUGCCCGAGUUGUAAUUUGUAGAAUUUGUCUUUGAUUAGGUCCUUGUCUAUGUUCCUUGGAACAGGACGUCAUAGAGGGUGAGAAUCCCGUUUGGCGAGGAUACCUUUUCUCUGUAAGACUUUUUCGAAGAGUCGAGUUGUUUGGGAAUGCAGCUCAAAGUGGGUGGUAAAUUCCAUCUAAAGCUAAAUAUUGGCGAGAGACCGAUAGCGAACAAGUACAGUGAUGGAAAGAUGAAAAGAACUUUGAAAAGAGAGUGAAAAAGUACGUGAAAUUGUUGAAAGGGAAGGGCAUUUGAUCAGACAUGGUGUUUUUUGCAUGCACUCGCCUCUCGUGGGCUUGGGCCUCUCAAAAAUUUCACUGGGCCAACAUCAAUUCUGGCAGCAGGAUAAAUCAUUAAGAAUGUAGCUACUUCGGUAGUGUUAUAGCUUUUUGGAAUACUGUUAGCCGGGAUUGAGGACUGCGCUUCGGCAAGGAUGUGGCAUAAAUUAAACU
Molecule: ribosomal RNA, 583 nt
Filed under: Hanseniaspora uvarum
Lineage: Eukaryota; Fungi; Ascomycota; Saccharomycetes; Saccharomycodales; Saccharomycodaceae
Description: eukaryotic LSU rRNA
Rfam family: Eukaryotic large subunit ribosomal RNA
Source: RNAcentral